AUUCAGUGGCAAGGUUAACCGUAUAGGGGAGCCGUAGCGAAAGCGAGUCUUAACUGGGCGCUCAGUCUCUGGAUAUAGACCCGAAACCGGGUGAUCUAGCCAUGGGCAGGUUGAAGGUUGAGUAACAUCAACUGGAGGACCGAACCGACUAAUGUUGAAAAAUUAGCGGAUGACUUGUGGCUAGGGGUGAAAGGCCAAUCAAACUCGGAGAUAGCUGGUUCUCCCCGAAAGCUAUUUAGGUAGCGCCUCGGACGAAUACUACUGGGGGUAGAGCACUGUUAAGGCUAGGGGGUCAUCCCGACUUACCAACCCUUUGCAAACUCCGAAUACCAGUAAGUACUAUCCGGGAGACACACGGCGGGUGCUAACGUCCGUCGUGGAGAGGGAAACAACCCAGACCGCCAGCUAAGGUCCCAAAGUAUUGCUAAGUGGGAAACGAUGUGGGAAGGCUCAGACAGCUAGGAUGUUGGCUUAGAAGCAGCCAUCAUUUAAAGAAAGCGUAAUAGCUCACUAGUCGAGUCGGCCUGCGCGGAAGAUGUAACGGGGCUAAGCAAUACACCGAAGCUGCGGCAAUAUCUUUUAGAUAUUGGGUAGGGGAGCGUUCUGUAAGCCGUUGAAGGUGAAUCGUAAGGUUUGCUGGAGGUAUCAGAAGUGCGAAUGCUGACAUGAGUAACGACAAAGGGGGUGAAAAACCUCCUCGCCGGAAGACCAAGGGUUCCUGUCCAACGUUAAUCGGGGCAGGGUGAGUCGACCCCUAAGGUGAGGCCGAAAGGCGUAAUCGAUGGGAAACGGGUUAAUAUUCCCGUACUUCUGACUAUUGCGAUGGGGGGACGGAGAAGGCUAGGUGGGCCAGGCGACGGUUGUCCUGGUUCAAGUGCGUAGGCUUGAGAGUUAGGUAAAUCCGGCUCUCUCUAAGGCUGAGACACGACGUCGAGCUGCUACGGCAGUGAAGUCAUUGAUGCCAUGCUUCCAGGAAAAGCCUCUAAGCUUCAGAUAGUCAGGAAUCGUACCCCAAACCGACACAGGUGGUCGGGUAGAGAAUACCAAGGCGCUUGAGAGAACUCGGGUGAAGGAACUAGGCAAAAUGGUACCGUAACUUCGGGAGAAGGUACGCUCUUGAUGGUGAAGUCCCUCGCGGAUGGAGCUGACGAGAGUCGCAGAUACCAGGUGGCUGCAACUGUUUAUUAAAAACACAGCACUGUGCAAAAUCGCAAGAUGACGUAUACGGUGUGACGCCUGCCCGGUGCCGGAAGGUUAAUUGAUGGGGUUAGCGCAAGCGAAGCUCUUGAUCGAAGCCCCGGUAAACGGCGGCCGUAACUAUAACGGUCCUAAGGUAGCGAAAUUCCUUGUCGGGUAAGUUCCGACCUGCACGAAUGGCGUAAUGAUGGCCACGCUGUCUCCACCCGAGACUCAGUGAAAUUGAAAUCGCUGUGAAGAUGCAGUGUACCCGCGGCUAGACGGAAAGACCCCGUGAACCUUUACUACAGCUUGGCACUGAACAUUGAACCUACAUGUGUAGGAUAGGUGGGAGGCUAUGAAGACGUGACGCCAGUUGCGUUGGAGCCGUCCUUGAAAUACCACCCUUGUAUGUUUGAUGUUCUAACUUAGACCCAUUAUCUGGGUUGAGGACAGUGCCUGGUGGGUAGUUUGACUGGGGCGGUCUCCUCCCAAAGAGUAACGGAGGAGCACGAAGGUGGGCUAAUCACGGUUGGACAUCGUGAGGUUAGUGCAAUGGCAUAAGCCCGCUUAACUGCGAGAAUGACGGUUCGAGCAGGUGCGAAAGCAGGUCAUAGUGAUCCGGUGGUUCUGUAUGGAAGGGCCAUCGCUCAACGGAUAAAAGGUACUCCGGGGAUAACAGGCUGAUACCGCCCAAGAGUUCAUAUCGACGGCGGUGUUUGGCACCUCGAUGUCGGCUCAUCACAUCCUGGGGCUGAAGUCGGUCCCAAGGGUAUGGCUGUUCGCCAUUUAAAGUGGUACGCGAGCUGGGUUUAGAACGUCGUGAGACAGUUCGGUCCCUAUCUGCCGUGGGCGUUGGAAGAUUGAAGGGGGCUGCUCCUAGUACGAGAGGACCGGAGUGGACGAACCUCUGGUGUUCGGGUUGUGUCGCCAGACGCAUUG
Molecule: ribosomal RNA, 2118 nt
Filed under: Vibrio cholerae
Lineage: Bacteria; Pseudomonadati; Pseudomonadota; Gammaproteobacteria; Vibrionales; Vibrionaceae
Description: partial 23S ribosomal RNA
Rfam family: Bacterial large subunit ribosomal RNA
Source: RNAcentral